Non-coding RNA from Pan troglodytes (chimpanzee), 147 nucleotides. It matches the Rfam family "Metazoan signal recognition particle RNA". From Rfam's summary of the family: The signal recognition particle (SRP) is a universally conserved ribonucleoprotein. It is involved in the co-translational targeting of proteins to membranes. The record is from Rfam. Lineage: Eukaryota; Metazoa; Chordata; Mammalia; Primates; Hominidae.
GCCAGGCGUGGUGGUUCAUGCCUGUAAUCCCAGCUACUCAGGAGGCUGAGAUAGGAGAAUUGCUUGAACCUGGGAGGCAGAGGUUGCAGUGAGCCGAAUCAUGCCACUGCACUCUAGCCUGGGUGACAAAGCAAGACUCCAUCUCAA